Long non-coding RNA from Acinonyx jubatus (cheetah), 19632 nucleotides. RefSeq lists it as uncharacterized. The record is from RefSeq and is a predicted model, not a curated record. The transcript is spliced from 2 exons. Lineage: Eukaryota; Metazoa; Chordata; Mammalia; Carnivora; Felidae.
CUUUCUUUAAGUGACACAGAGGUGAUUCUGUUUAACUCCCAAGUUCUUGGUCUGUAGGAAGAUAUCACCAAUUUAAAAUCAAGAGCAGAAGGAGAAAUGUUCUUGCCACUCAUAAUUUUCUAAAAACAUAAGUAACAGAAAUGAAAUCCAAAGGUAAAUAGACCUCCUUUACCGUGACACCCUAAUUCCAUUUUAAGGCUGUUGUACUUUACCCUUUUCCUGUGAAAGAAUUAAACUGAAAUCAUUGGAUUUCUCUCUUUUUGUUUAAAAAAAGUAAAAUCAGGGAGUUGAAUUUAUUUUUCAACUUAUAUAUUAAGUAUACUAUAAAAAUAUAUUUUUAAUUGGAAAUAGUAUUAUUUAUUUAUUUUUAAUUUAUUAUUAUUUUUUUUAAAGUAGGCUCCAUGCUCAAGGUGGGGCUUGAACUCAUGACCCCAGGAUCAGGAGUUGCAUGCUCUACCGACUGAGCCAGCCAGGCACCCCUGGAAAUAGUAUUUCUGUUCUUCACUGUUGAGAAAGAUGUUGAUUCAUAAUUAAUGGGUAUACAGCAAUCCUUUAAAAGUAAUUUUGCAGCUCUGUCACAAAUGGAUUUGCUCCAUUUUUUAACUCUAAGUAUUUGAGAUCAGAUUGUUGAAAAGUCUGUAAGUGUAUUAACAAACCACCUUUUUGAUGUGCCUUUAUUUUUUUUUAAUGUUUAUUUAUUUAUUUUGAGAGAGAGUGAGGGAGCAGGGGAGGGGCAGAGAGACAGGGAGAGAGAGAGAGAAUCCUAAUACCGGACUUGAACCUACCAACCAUGAGAUCAUGACCUGAGCCAAAACCAAGAGUUGGAUGCUUAACUGACUGAGCCACCCAGGUGCCCCUCUGAUGUACCUUUGAAGUUAAUCUGGGAAAAUGUCGAUGAAACACUGCUUUCGGGUAUGUGGGAUAUAUUGUCUAAUUAGCAGCAAAUUGGGAAAUUACUGGGAGUGCUCUAUUCCCAGUUUCAGCAGUUAAUUCAAGUGUCAAGGAUGGCAUUUUUAUAUUAGACUGUAUCAGGACAGGAAAUGUUUCUGAAAACAUCAGCAUUAUUAUGGUUUUAUGUAACCAAAGUUGAUAAGCCUGGAUAUGUUUUUUUCUAGAAAUAUUUAUUUUUUUAAAAAGCAAGGUUUGUAUUUUUGAAGUUUUGAUAAUCCUUGUGAAAUAAUAUGUUAAGAUGGUUACUGAAACAAAAGCUGCUGUCUAUCAGCAAUAUGAGAGAAAUUUAAAUUACAUAGCUGAUUAAGCUUACUUUAGUUGGAAAGAAACAUUUCUCUGCCUUUUACAAUUACCAGAUGAUUUAUUUACUUUUUCUUUCUUUUUUUGGUAACAGCUUUAUUGAGAUAUAUAUGAUUCACAUACAUUUUACCUGUUUAAAUGGUACAGUCCAGUAGACUAUAUUAAUAGAGUUGUGCAAUCAUCUCUACUCUGUAAUUGCAAACAUUUUCAUCACCUCUGAAAGAAGCCCUGUACCCUUUAGCUGUCACCCCACCUCCCUCCUUUCCACUGAUCUCAUCUCAUUAUAUAUUUACCUGUUAUGGACAUUUCAUAUAAAAAUUUUUUUUUAAUCAUUGUUUAUUUUUGAGAGAGUGAGAGAGAGACAGAGUGAGAGCAGGGGAGGAGCAGAGAGAGAGGGAGAUACAGAAUCCGAAGCAACUCCAGGGCCCGAGCUGUCAGCACAGAGCCCGACAUGGGGCUCAAACCCGUGAACCGUGAGAUCGUGACCUGAGCCGAAGUCGGAUGCCCAACCGACUGAGCCACCCAAGCGCCCCCUGGACAUUUCAUAUAAAUGGAGUCUUACAGUAUGUGGUCUUAAAAAAUUUUUUUACUUAUUUUGAGAGAGAGAGAGAGAACACGAGCAGGGGAGGGACAGAGGGAGGGAGAGAGAGAAUCCCAAGCAGGCUCUGUGCUUUCAGAGAUGUGUCUCAGUCUCAUGCACUAUCAGAUCAUGACAUGAGCCAAAAUCAAGAGUCAGAGGCUUAACCGACUGAGCCACCCAGGCGCCCCAAUAUGUGGUCUUUUGUGACUGAUUCCUUUUGCUUAGCAUCGUGUAUUUCGGGGUGUCUCUGUAUUUUGUUCCUUUCUGUUCCAGAUAACAUUCUGUGACACGGAUAGUCCACUUGUUUAUUCACUCAGCAGUUGGUGGAUGUGUGGGUUGUUUCCACCUUUUGGCCGUUGUGAAGAAUGCUGCUGUGAACAUUAAUGCACCAACUUUUGUGUGGACAUACGUUUUUCAUUUCCCUUGGGUGUAUGCCUGGGAGUAGAAUUGCUGGAUCAUUCGGUAACUCCGUGCUUAACAUUUUGAGGAACUGCCGGAUUGUUUUCCAUAGAAGCACGUAAAGGUUCCAGUUUCUCCAUAUCCUUACCAACAAUUGGUAUUGUUUGUCUCUUAAAUUCUAGUCGUCCUAGUUGGCAUGAAGUGGUCUCUCAUUUUAGUGCAAGUGAGCAAGGAGCAGAGCGAGAGAGAGAAGUGGGGUUCAUCUGGGGCUUGUGAUUUUUACCCGAUGCGGGGCUCGAGCUCACCAGCUGUGAGAUUGUGACCUGAGCUGAAGUCCCAGGCUUAAUGACUGAACCACCCAGGCGCCCUCUCAUUUUAGUUUUGAUUUACUUUUUUCCUAAAGGCCAAUGGUGUUGAGCAUCCUUUCUUGUGUUUAUUGGCCAUUGCUAUGUCUUCUUUGGAGAAAUAUCUGUUCUUUUGUCCAUUUUUAAAUUGUGUUGUCUUUGUUGAGUUGUAAGAGUUCUUUAUAUAUUCUGGAUAUUGAGCCUUUGUCAAAUGUAUAAUUUGCAAAUAGUUUCCUUUAUACUGUGGGUUGUCAUUUCACAUUCUUGAUAGUUUCCUUUGAGGCACAGAAGUUUUUUUUUUUUAAUAUUUUUAAAUGUUUAUUUAUUUUUGAGAGACAGAGAGAGAGAGAGAGAGAGAGAGAGAGAGAGAGAGAGACAGACAAAGCAUGAGUGGGGGAGGAACAGAGAGAGAGGGAGACACAGAAUCCGAAGCAGGCUCCAGGCUCCGAGCUGUCAGCACACAGCCCAUCAUGGGGCUUGAACCCGCCAGCUGUGAGAUCAUGACCCAAACUGAAGUCGGACACCCAACCAGGACUGAGCCACCCAGGCGCCCCAUGGCACAAAAGUUUUUAAUUUUGAUGAAGUUUAGUUUAACUUCCCUUUCGUUGCUUUUGGUGUCAUAACCAAGAAUCCACUGCCAAAUCCAAGGUCACAAAGAUUUAUACCUGUGUUUUCUUCUAAGAGAUUUGUAGCUUCAGAUCUUACCUUUAGGUCUUUGAUCCAUUUUGAGUCAAUUUUUGUAUAUGGUAUGAGAUAGGGGACCACAUUCUUUCUCUCGCAUGUUGGUGUCCUGUUUUCUCAGCACCAUUUGUUGAAGAGUCUGUUCUUUCCCCCCAUGGAAUAGUCUUGUCUCCUUGUCACAAUCGUUUGAUAAAUGUAUUGGUUUAAUUCUGGGCUCUCAGUUGUGUCCUGUUGAUAUUUAUGCCUAUCCUUAUGCCAGUACCAACUGUGUCUUGAUUACUGUUGCUUUGUAGUAAGUUUUGAAUUCAGGAAGUAUGAUGCCUCCAACUUUGUUCUUUUUCAAGAUUGUUUUGACUCUUUUGGGUUCCUUGAAUUUCCAUUUGAAUUUUAGCAUCAACUUGUCAAUUUCUAUAAAGAAGCCAUCUGGGAUUCUGAUAGGGAUUGCGUCAAAUCUGUAGAUUAGUUUGGGGAGUAUUGCUGUUUUAACAAUAUUAAGUCUUGUAUCUAUGAACAUAAUGUUUUUCCAUUUAUCUAGAUCUUUUAAAUUUUUUUUCAAAAAUAUUUUGUAGUUUUCAUGGGGCAUCUGGCUGGCUCAGUCAGAAGAGCAUGCAGGUCUUGAUCUCAGGGUUGUGAGUUCAAGUAGAGACUACUUAAGUAAAUAAACUUAAAAAAAUUUUUGUAGUUUUCAGAGUUUAACCUUUUCAUAUUGGUAAAAUACAUAAGAUAAAAUUUUCCAUUUUAACAUUUUAAGUGUUUAUUUGGUUGCAUUAAUUAUAUUCACAAAACAAAAUAUAAGGUUUGCACUUAUUUUGUUAAAUUAUUCCUACGUUUUUUUUAAUGCUAUCGUAAAUGGAAUUGUUAAUCUCAUUUUCAGAUUGUUCAUUGUAAACGUAUACAGAUACAAUUGAACUUUUUAUAUUGAGCCCGUAUCCUGCAAAAUUGCUGAACUCAUUUAUUCUAAUAGUUUUUAGUGGAUUCCUUAGGAUUUUUAUACAUAAAAUCAUGUCACUUGUGAAUAGAGAUAGUUUUGCUUCUUCCUUUCCAGGCUGGAUGUUACUUCUUUCUGUUGCUUAAUUGCCCUGGCUAGAACCUCCAGCACAAUGUAGAAUAGAAGUGGUAAGAGUGGAAAUUCUUGACAAAACGUCUGAGUCUUUCUCCAUUAAGUUUGGUUUUAGCUGUGAGGUGUUUUUUUUUCUUUUAGGUUUAUUUAUUUUGAGAGAGAAAGAGCGCGCGCGCACACACACACACACACACACACACACACGCAUGGGGGAGCGGCAGAGAGAGAGAGAGGGAGAGAGACAAUCCCAAGCAGGCUCUGUGCUAUCAGUGCAGAGCCCGACAUGAGGCUCAAUCUCCCAUACCACGAGAUCAUGACCUGAGCCGAAAUCAGAGUCAGAUGCUUACUUGCUUGAGCCACCCAGGGGCCCCAAACUGUGAGUUUUCAUCAAUGCCCUUUAUCAGGUGGAGGAAGUUUCCUUCUAUUCUAGUUUGUUGAGUGUUUUUUCCAUAAAAGGGUGUUGGAUUUUGUCAAUUACUUUUUCUGGGUCCAUUGAGAUAAUAAGGUGGCUUUUGUUUCUCAUUCUGUUGAUGUAUAGUGUAUUACAUUAACUGAUUUUUGUAUGUUGAACCAACCUUAUGUUCUUGGGAUAAAUUCCACUUGGUCAUGGUGCAUGAUUGUUUUUCAGUGUUGGCUGGAUUGGUUUACUAGUAGUUUGUUGAGGAUCUUUACGUGAAUAAUCAAAAGAAAUACUGGUUUGCAGUUUUUUUCUUUCCUUGAAUGUCUUUGGUUUUGCUAUCAGGGUAGUACUGGCCUUAUAGAAUGAGUUAGGAAAUAUUCUCUCUUCAGUUUUUUUUUUGUUUUUUUUUUUUUUGGUGAGAGUUUGUGAAAAUUUUGUAUUCUUUAAAUGUUUGAUAGAAUUCACCCGGAAAUCUAUCUGAGCUUUUCUUUGUGGUUAGUUUUUUGACUAUUGGUUCAACCCCUAUACUUGGUAUAGAUCUAUUCACACUUUCUCUUUCUUCACGAGUCAGUUUGGUAAUUUUUAUCUUUUUCAGGAAUUUGUCCAUUUUAUCUAGAUUAAAUUUGUUGGCAUAGAGUCUGUUCAUAGCAUUUCUUAAUCCUUUUAUUUCUCUAAGAUCUGUAGUAAUGCCUCCUCUUUCAUUUCAAUUUUAGCAAUUUGAGUCUUCUCUUUUUUCUUGGCCAUCCUUAAAAAUGGUUAAAAUGGCAAGUUUCAGGUUUCACCAACAAUAAAAAAGUAACUGCAAGUAAAAGUAAUUUAGAUCCAUCUAUGCUGUUAGUUUUUUCUGCGCCCUGUACGGUAUUUUAUUCAUGUAUCACAGUUUAUUCGUUCACUCUGGAUGGCCAUCUGGAUUGGCCAGUUUUGGGGCUAUUAAUGAAGAGUUCUACUGGAAACUGCUUUGGUUUUUAAAUUCCCCAGAGAGUUUCUUUGACUCCAAUGCAUCUAUCAUAAGUCAAUUUUUCUUUAAAAAUUCCUUUACGAACAUUUUUUUAGUUACUUUUUGGUAACCUUGAACUCUAAUAGUUUGUGGAGGGUGGUCAUGGAUGUUCCAAGUUACAGUUCUUUGUGAUUUAGGAUUGCCCCUGGUGCCAAGUAUUAAAAAUCUCAGAACAUAAAUCACAAAACUUAUAUUAGGCCAGUGCUAUUAUUAUUUGAAAUAGUUUUAAAAUUAUAAAAAUAACAUGUGUUCAUGAUUUAAUAAAUUGAAACAGUGCAGAAUGGUAUGCCAUAGAAAGUAAAAGUCUUUCUCCUCCUAAUUUAUAUAAGUUUUUAAAAUUUACUUUUAAAUUUUAGAGCAUAUUUUAGACUUCCCACUAAAAUUGAAUAUUGAUUUGAAAGGAUUUUUAAUAUCAGAAUAUAUUUCUAUUCAUAGUUUUAAAAUUUUCAUGAGAAAUUAAUGUUGAAAUAUGGUAAUUACAUAUAUCAAGAGGGUUGUGAGUUUUGUCUUAGAUAGGCUUAGUUUUUAUUGUUUAUAUUAAUAUAUAUAACGCUAGUGAAUCAUUCAUGCAUUCCCAGGAUGGAGUAAAGUACACUUAGCCAUGGCGUUUUUUUUUUUUCCCAUAACUGCACAGCCGAACCUGUCGUGUUCAUGUUUCAUUAGUUUUAAAUUUAUAUUCCCAGCUGUAAGGGGGGGAAUCUGUAGUUAGUGGACUCAUGUAUAAAAUAACUUAAUUGCUUUCAUUUUCUUUUAUCUGUGACAUCAUUUUUAAAUUAAUUUUCACUAAAGAGUUAAUUAGGGGAAUCACCAGUUUUAUGUUGUCAAAGCUUAUGGCAUUUAUGUCCUGUUCUGUGACUAUAAUGAAGUCUUCCUUGUUUUGUCUAAGUUGGUUCUAAGAAUUGGAAGCUAAUAAAUGGCAUUUACAGUACAAGCAUACCUUAUUUUAUUGCACUUCACUUUAUUACGCUUCACAGAUACUGCAUUUUUUACAAAUUGAAGGUUCGUGGCAGCCCUGUGUCAAAACUAGUCCGUCAGCACCAUUUUGUUACAGCAUUUGCUCACUUCAUGCCUCUGUCACAUUUUGCUAAUUCCUGCAGUAUUUCAAACUUUUUCAUGAUUAUUGUAUUUGAGUUACUGCAGUUGCAUGGUAAAACUUUAAUGGAUGAGGAGUUGCUUCUGAUGGGUGAGCAAAGAACGUGGAACGUGGACUCUUGAGAUGGAAUCUAUUGCUGGUGGAGAUGCCACGAAGAUUGUUGACAUGACAACAGAGGACGUAGCCGAUCACAUAAACUUAGCUUGAUGACGCGGCUGCAGGGUUUGAGAGGCUGGGCUCCCAUUUUCAGAGUUCUACUGUGGGCCAAAUGCUAUCAGAGACCAUCGCAGGCUACAGAGAAGUUGUUCGUGACCGAGAGUCCAUCCCUGUGGCAGACUUCAUUGUUGUCUUGUUUUCAGAAGUCCCCACGGCCUCCCCAGCCUCCACCUAUCGCCUGCCAGGUCAGCAGCCAGUACCAUCGAGGCAGGCCCUCCACCAGCAAAAAGUUGACUGACUGAGAGCUCAGAUGAUGAACGAUACUGGCUACCAGUGACUGUUCGUGCCGCAGAAGAUGUACUGACCGUGAAAGCAGGAGCAGCUGUUACCUUACCGUGCGGAAGGAAAGCCAGACUUCUCUGAUUUGCAGCAGUGGCACACACAGAAAAUCUGAUAAUAUACUCCGCCUGGAGGAUUCUGUUAAGAACACUAAGAAAAAUAAGGGGAGUUAUUUUUUCCUCUCAUUUUAAAAUUGGAAAAUUUGUUCUGAGAAAUAUGAAUAAUCAUAUAUGUGAGAAAUAAAGAUAAAAAGAGAAUAAAAAUACCAGCCAUUUAUAUGAACUUGGGCUUUGUGUUUUCUUAGCUUACUUUAUCAAAAGCAGGUAAUGAUCUCUAUCCUGCAGGUUUUAGAGAUUGUUUUAUGACAUCCGUGACGCGUAUGAAAACGUUAAGCAAGGGGUGGCUGCCGUUAGCAAUGGAGUGGAUUUAAUAUUUUAUCAAAUAUUUGGGGUGGAAGAAAGAGUAAAAGACUAAUUUACUCAGCCAGGAUCUCACUUAAAUAGGACCGUGGCUUAAGUUUGAAUGAAUGGUAACGGAAGGUUGGUGGGUAUUGUCUGGUUGCUGAAAAUUCCCUCAAAUGACUGAUUACUGAAAUUCGGUCACCUUUAUUUUGAAUGUGUUGAUUUGCUGACGGACGCUCUGCAGACUUCCCACUUUGUGAUUUUACUCUCCCCACUGCUUGACUCUCAGCUGCAGUGUCCUUCCUGUAUACCAUGUUGUUAGUGUCCUUUGUCUCGAGCCCUGUGACUUGUCUUCAGGAAAUGUGCCAGCCAGGCUCGAGCACGAGAUGAGAACCAGGAGGAGCAGGUUAGGACCUACUCUGACAGACUGGUGGCAGGAACUUUGGAGCCCCUCUUCUUCCCUUCCCUUCCACCACACAGAGGUGGUGUAGACACACCCCCUUCUGGGUUCCCGUCCUUGCCCUUACUGUUACUCCUGCCCUGCUUCCUGCCCCGCUGGUCACAGCCCAGUUGUAAGUGUCUGCGCAGGAUGGCUCUGGCCUUGUGCUGGGUAGGGGGGAGGGGUCCGUCCUUGGUUGUCCAUCCCCCGGCCCCUUCCUCGUCCUGGUGAGGGCCAAAUGACCUGUGGGGCACCACCGUCUGUAGCCAUAGAAUGCUGAAGGUGAACUUUGUCAGUUAUGAUGAUUCCUGGCUGCCUAGUUAACAAAGUAAGAUUUGGGAUUACAAAACCAUCUUUAGAGCGGCUGUGAUACUUACUGCUGAGCUAACAGACUGCACACUGUGAUUGUAGGUGGCCUUACAUACCUCUCUUUGGCACACUGUGAAGUCUUUAUUAUAAUGUGUAUGUGUGUAUAUACACACACACAUAUAUACUUAUAAUCUCAGGUGUUGACUUGAUAAAGCAGUAUGUAUGUUCCUAACUUUAUUUUCUUUAGCAAUAUUAAAAUUUUUUACUCCGAAUUCAAUAAAGAUCAAGAAAAAAAAGAAAAAGCCAGUGAGUAAAAUCAUUAAUUUCUACCAAAAAUAAAAUAAAAUAACCACAGAGCACUGGUGCGGGUGCGUGUGGUCGGAGCCCCGUGCGGGUGAGAGGGCAGUCUCGGGAGACACCGCUGAGGUCCCGGCACCGGCCUUGGAAAAUGGAGUGUCGUUAACAUUCAUUGUAAGGAAAUGGCUGUAUUCUGUGGAUUGCUGGUUGAAGCUUGAGACAUUUAAUUGAUAACCCCGGGAUUAUGGUUUGCUGUUACCAUCUAAACCAGUGAAAACGAGCUUUUUGUUGAUAACAUCUGUGAUGUCAGUAACACAGACUCCUCUCCAUCCCUGCCCCCAUCCACGAGCCUGAUGGGUUAGUUGAUCAGUGAGAUGUUAGCAGUUUCAGAACGGAUCACCUUUACCUCUACCAAGAUGAGUAGUCUUUUGUUUUUUGUUUGGUGAAAAUGAUUUCAGGCAUCUAGUCCAUGCAUUUUUUUGUUUAGCAGCGAAACUCUUCAGAAUGGUGCGUUCGUUCUCCCCGUGUUCACUGCCUCCUCUCCCGUUCUCAAACUCACUGUAAUCAGGCUUUUGUCCCUCAGCGUUCCCUGAGCUGCUGCUGUGUCAGGGCCACCGUGAUGUCCACAUGGCAAAAAACAGUAGUUAAUUCCCAGCUUGUCGCGCGUCUCGAUCUGGUUCCUCCUCGAGGCUCCUGGCUGGUUCCUUCUCUUCCCCCCCAGCCUCCUGAUCUCCAAAGGGCCCGUCCUCACGUCCCCUCCUCUGUCUCUGCUAACCCCCAGGGAUCUCAUCCACGCCUGUGACUCUGAUGCCAGCUGUACACCGAGUACCCACAUUCACAGCUCACGGCCAGGCUCGGGUGUCCCGCCACCUCCCGGCAGACAGGUGCAGCUCACCCCACAGUCUGCUCCAUCCCCCUGCCAUCUCACUCACUGGCGGCUCCCAGCAAACACCCCAACACCUCGGAUAAUUCGGAUAAUGCGCACACUGCAUAUGCAGCCCUGCAGGAAAUCCUGUGGGCUCCACCUUCAAACUGGAGUCAGAAUCCAGCCCCACCAACUUUGCAGCUUCUGUCCAGACCGCUGGCACUGUAUAAACUCUCCUUCCUUACUCUACAACAUUCCCAGUUUCCCUGCCCUUUUUCCUUUUUUCUGAAGGAUUUACUGUUUUCCACAUAACUGCCUGUUCUUCAUACGUAUGAGGAAGGUAGGGAUUUUUGUUCCCAGACCUAGCCAUGCUGCCUAGAACAGUUCCUGGCAAACAGAAGGUGCUUAAUAAGUUAUUUGUUUAAUUGAUUCUGAUAUAUUUUAGAACUUGUAGAUAAAACCUUUUGGGUUCUUACCGGUUAGGUAGUGGUCAUUACCUCAGGGACAACAAGCAUUUUUAUACAGUACUGUGGUUUACGAAAUGCUUUCACGUGUUAACCUCAUGUCUUCAUUUAUUCAGUCAACACAGACUUCAGUCAGCGUAACCUCCCCCCUACGGGAUCCUGGGGUCCUCGCUGUGGCUUCCGAGUGAGAUAAACGAGCCAGGUCUGUGUUCAUGCUGGCCCCCCUCACUUGCUCAGCCAGCUCCUUCUGCCCCUGCAGGUUCUUCCAGAUGGAGACAGCUGGUACCCUUCUCCAUACCUUUGCUGACACUGCCCCUCUCAGGCUCACGGCUGCGCGCUCUCACACACACAGGUGCUCCUGUGUCUAAUACAAAAGCAGGACUUCAAGGAUGAUUUAACUUUGACUCAUUUUUCCCUCUGUCUUCCACAACCCCCUUCAAAAAAUACAUUGUCAUGUUUUCUCCCUUGUGCCCUCACAGCUGGUUUCUUUUCUUUGUUUUCUCUUUCACUCAUACAGCUUGUUCCUUAAAAUUCUUUGUAGCCCUCCCCUUGCUUCCCCAUGUGCCGUGUUCAGUGUGUUUCUGUCCCUGCUCUCUGCUAAGCCCAGAGGACCCCGAACGACAGGGACGUGGCCUCGGGAGGUGGCCCUGCGGAGGGGGUCCGGUCGCAGUCAGGCUUUCCUUAAUAAAUAGGGUUUGAAUUGAAUUUGGGCCAGAGGUCUGCAUUGCUCAGAUCUUGCAGGGCGUGUCUGAGAUGGAUAAGAAGCAGGUCCUUAUCUAGGACUGAGAACUCUGGGACAAAGCCAGAGGGUCACCGCGCCAUGAUGCUGUUUACGGCAAGGGUGCGUGGUCAGCUGGUAGGUGCCCGUGACCAGCAGCGGUCCACAUGGCUGAAGCGGAGGCCUGCAGCCGGCCUCAACCUCUGCUCACCUAGCUGGGUCUUUUGAAUUCACCUUCCUGGUGAAUAGUUCAGAUGUUAAAGCAAAAUACCUUCAGAUCUGUGGCAUUUGAAGAUGGUCACAGGUAAAGGAAGGGUGUGGAGGACUUAGAGCUCGAAGAAAAACUGCAGAGGUGGUUGGAAGGCCCUAGGGGGCUGAACAGGACAGAAAGGAACGAGAAGCUGUGCCCGUUCCUGGCGAGGAUGAGACGCAGUUUCCCCAAAUCUUUGCACUCCAUGGUUGGGUUCUUCACCAGCACCUGAGUGAAAGAAACAGACGAGCCACCGCAUUUAAUUACUAUUUUUCUGACUUAAGUUUUGGGAUGGGGUAUGUCAGAGGGUAACAGAAACCUGAAACAUUUCUUCUGUCCGUGUCAGUUCGCGUAAUCCCAGAGCGAGGAGGUGGCUUAAGGGUCCUUAGGGAGGGGCACUGGAGGGUCGCUUCCGACCAGGCCUCCACUCCAUUAUCUCAGGCUGCCAGAGGGCGGAACGGCUGCCCCACCGGGACUCAGGACCCUGACCCUAGUGCCCUGAAAAGACACAGACUGGACCUGGCAUCAGCCCUGGGUUCAAGGCCUGCAAUCCGGGGCACAGAUCCAGAGUUUCUUGCAAGACGAGGAUAAUGCCACCUCCCACCUGGCAGGGUUACUGGGUCGGGUGGGCAGCAGUAACAUGCAUUUGGUGCAAACUCACAGCCAUUUUGUGGCCACUCAGAUGCUGUGGGUGCUUCAUAGCAGGUGCACCAGGAAAUGCUCUAAAUUAAUGGCUGACCGUUUGACAUGCACGCACUGUGCCCUGUACCUGUUUUAUUGAGAUGAAGUCAAACAAACAAAAUAGCUAGAACUCCUAUGUUAAACAUUCUACUUAACCACAGGAAAAAAAAAAAAUGAAUCCUUCAGAAGGGUUUUGUCCCAUUUCGCCCCAAAGGUGGUAACCUGACUGUGCCCUUUCAAGCAUGUCUUCAGCUCCUGCGUUUCCCAGUCGCUGCACUGCAGUUAAUGACGAGCCUUUGAACAGGUUUGUGGAGCAGCCCCGUCCGGCCUGGCGGGUGUCUGUCACAGGCUGUGCCCGAGGCAGAAUUUCCUUUCCCCUCAUGUUUUGCACUUAUAAAGACAUCCUCAAUCUGGGUGUCACCGAGGAAAAGGCGCAGGUCAGGUGGGAAUGUGAAGGUCACCGAAACGAUUCGAGUGCACUUCGCCGCCUGGCGGAGAGUUCCUUGACGGGGAGUCCGGAGACACGCGGCUUCAGUCAGGGAUCAGAGGUGCCUCAUCCACCGGGGGCGGGGCGGUCCUGAGUGCAGACUGUCUGGGGUGGUUUGGACUCUGCAGGCAAACUUUUCCUUCUCCCCUAAUCUAGCAUGUCCAGGAGCCUCUGCCUGGGGCAGCCCUGACGUUUAAGGUGUGCUCCUCAAAAUAGUCCACCCUCUAGGGCUGUAUAGGGCCCCUUUUGGCACUUGGUUUACAAGGCUGCUUAGUGGCAAUUAUUGGGUACUAUUUAGGUGUCAUCCAUGUGUAAUCGGCCUGGCGAAACUGUUUUGUAACAAGUCUUUAUCUUCUUGGUAAUUUUGCUGGAUUCUAGGAUCAUUUUGGUGGUAGGUUUGUUUACUUAUUGUUAAAUAUGACAUAUAAGUAAUACUAAUAUAAUUGUUAAGAAAACUAUGUCACCCAAUAGCUGUAGCUACCGUUUAAUGAGAAUUUACUAUAUGCUAGACAGAGCUAAGUGCUUUGCUGGGGGGUGGGGUGUUAUAACACGGUAAUUUAUGGUAUAUAUAAUAUAAUUCAGCAGUCUCAGUCACUUUUUGGGUAGGCACCAUUCAUCUCAGCAGGUGAGCAGACAGCCUUAGAGAAGCCAAGGAGCUCUGCCGGGUUCACGCAGGGGCCCAGCGUGUUUGUGUCUAACACCGGGCCCUGGGGUAGUUUGCCCGGCCGCAGGCCCCUUCUGCUCAGUCCUGGAAUGGUGAUCUUGGAGGAAGUCACCCCAGCCUCGGCCCCUGCCAUGUGCUAACCAGCACACAGUCUGUACUUUUGAUUUUCCUGUUUCUUAACUUUAGAGUGUACAUAUACAGCAUGCUUCUAGUGACUCACGGAAGAAAUGGCCUGAAACUGGCUUUCUUUCUGGUGUAGGCACCAAGGCACAAUGCAGUCUUCUGUUUGUGCGUUUGUUGCAUUUGUGUGACUUGUGUAUAUGCCUCACUCAGUUGGCUCUGCUUUUUAUAUCGUUCCAUUGUACCCUAGGAUUUUUUUUAAGUAGGCUUCGUGCCCAGUGCAGAGCCCCAGGUGGGGUUUGAAGUCACGACCCUGAGAUCAAGAUCUGAGCUGAGAUUAAGAGUUGGAUGUUGAACUGACUGAGCCACUCAGGUGCCCCACUCGGGUAUUUUUUUUUAUUUAAAUGUGUAUUUGUAUUCAUAUCAGUCGGGUAGUUGGCUUUAGAAAUCAGACAUCUGUUGUGACGACUGCUCACUUUGCAUAGGCUCUUUGCCCAGCAGGUUGUGGGGGAGACUUGUGCUGCUCUCAGGUCGAAAAGACAGUCGCUUCUAAGUUGACACACAGCAGUGAGGCAGUGGGAUUUUAGGUCGGUAAUUUACAAAGCAGGGCGGGCCAAAAUUACAGUGGUUUGAGAAAAGCAGUCAAUCAACAACCGAGUGGAUGCAGAGACGAAGGAAUGCGUGGCUGACCCAGGAGUCCUUGAACUAGGUCUGAGCAAGGUUAGCCGAGGUGGGGCCAGCCAGCGUUAGUGUGACAGCAGGCUGUUGGAAUGAGAUCUUUCCUGGUUUAUUGUUGACUCCCUGCUACCUCCCCACCCAUCUCCCCACCCUGACUUCUCCAGUUUCCACUGACUCUGUCUGUGCCUUCCGGGCGUGAGUCAGAGGAGGGUAAGGGGCUUCUCUUUCAGUUCUCAGAAGUCUGAGAUUGCGUUAAGUUAAAAUGUGAUGUUUGUUCAUGUUACCACACUGUAAUUCCUGAUGAUCAGCCUACCUGGGUGAGUUCAUAUUUAGAGGACUUUAUCUACAGGGCCCCUUGGAAGAUUCAGAACUGGCAAUUUAUAACCAGAAGGGUUUGUGACGGACUCCCGAUGAAGGAAAGUGUUCUGUCAUUUAACAAAAUUAGAUAUUAAAACAAGUAAACCCCAUUUGAUGUAAGUUAAGCACAUUUUUCAGAAACCUUAUGAUAGGUGUAUCAGCGGUCUGAACUGUGAGAAUGAAUUUGAAGCAGUUUUGAAACUGACUAAGCUGGUACUUGGAGGAGAGUGUCUGCUUUUCCUGCCCCUUGUUAGAUGACAGCCUCAGCCUGACUCUCCGUCCUGCCCUGCUCUCCAGUUCCCCUGUGUGGGCUCAUCGGGGUCAAAGUCAUGCCUUGCCCACUUACCGUCCUGCCUGUGGCCAUACUCCCCGUCCUUGGGGUGCUGUUCUGGCUGGCCCUUUCUCCUCUGUGAGAAAUGAGGUCUGUAGAGCACGGGCAUGUUCCUGGGACUCCAGUGCCAUUCCUGGGCUCCUCCCAGAGCUGCCCCUGUCCUGUACCCAGCCAGCAGUGGGGCCGCCGCUGUGUGCAGCAGCAGGUGUUUGACCUGUGGUCCCUGGAUAGGACCUGAGCAGUAGCUGGCAGUUGCUGGGGGAGGACUUCCAGGAGCGGAGCCCCACACCACAGAGUGGAGUGGACUGGCACUGGGGAGGGAGGGGAGCUGUUCCUCGUGUCCCCUUGUCACUUGGCUUUGGGGGCUCCUGUUUCUGCAGUAGCAAAUGUAUUAUGUGCGCUGGGUAAUCUGUACGACCGGUUCCAGAUGCCUGACCACUGAGUGGCUGAAGCUGCCACAGUGGAGCGGGCGGGUGACGGGGGCGGGCAGUGCGGGUCGAGUCCAGAGGGAGGUCAUGGUGCGAGCUCGAAGGGGGCAGAGUGGCACUUCCCGUGUGCCUUCCUGUGGGCUGCUGCUCUGUGACACAGUCCUCUUUCCUCUGAGUGUCCCUCCCUGACACUCCUUCCAGCCAGUCUGAUCUUAUUUCCUCUCCUGAUAAACAAACCAAAGGCGGGGGGGGGGGGGGGGGGGGCAUUGGUUUCUCAUUUCACAAUGAUUUUCUGUCCGUUUCAGCCAAAGAUCCUCCCUCCACCCCCAGUUCUUUCUGGCAAAGUGCUUUCCUGUUUAAAGGGAACCCUGGACUCCAGUUUUUCCUUAUAGAUGGGAUCUCCUGUUGGCUAGUGCUUGCCUUUGGUUGAUUAAUUCAUUGCCUUUUAGGGCAGUAAGAGAGUUCUUUUGGGGACAGUCUUGGGUUGUGGAAGAAUGAAGAGAUUAGGAAAAGAAAAAUCUCUGAAUAAACAUUUAGUGCUCUAAGGGCUAAAGCUUUGUUCAGUCUUUUUUGGUGGAAGAUAUCCUAGGUUGUUGAAUAUACUUUUACCUUAGAAAAUAUGACACCACUCCCCCCCCCCCCCCCCCGCCACCUGAGGAGGUGACCUUUUUCUGACACCGCAUCGUCAGGUGGGCAUCCAGUCUGCUGUGGCACUGCAUCCCCACCGUGGUGCUAGGGCCUUGGGCAGUGGUGGGUAACAGGGCGGAAGUAGCCCUGCCUUCCCGGGCCUUCCGGGCCAGUGGGGAAGACAUCAGUGAGCUGGUAUGGCUCCGAGGCCUACUUCCUGGAGGACUGAUGGGCUCCUGACCCGGUCAGCCGGCUGGAGUUGGGGCCACCUCCCACCUCAGGGGUCCCAAGGAUGAGCAGGAGCCUGUGGGGGUGAGGGUUCUGCUUAGGAAGACCCAGGCUUGCCUGAGGGCCUGAGCAGCAGAAGGACCUGAGGUGUGGUGGGACCGGGGUGGGGGACAGGGGUGUAGGGGGGCCCACACGUGCAGCAGGCUCUGAGCACGCAGGUCUUAGCCCGGAGCCAUGCCCCGCUGUGAGGAGUCCGAACCGGGGAGGUGAUGCGACUGUGUCGGCUUUGGCACAGGUGGUGCCAUGGCCGGAGAGGCUGGAGAGUGGGUGCGAGGGCACAGGCGAGCUGGGAGGUCCCUGCAGAGGGACGGGGGCACCGGGGAGUGGUCCGAGAUGGUGUGCAGGUGCAGGCGCAGGGGGAGGUGUGGGCGGCGCACGACCCUGAGCAGCCCCACCCCUGCAGUUGCUGGAGCCAGAGUCCCGCGGGGGCCUCCGGCAGCCGGGCCCACUUCUCUGUCCUGGUGCCAGCACAUGGGCGCCCAGCGAGUGUUUGCUGAGCUGUCACCUUUUGGUGUUGGCUCAUGGGAUGUGGAGGAGAGGUAAUUUCACCCUUUCCAAAAUGUAUAAUAGUUAUGUUUCUCUUACUUCAAAAUCGACAGGUUCAUUAUCACCGUGAAAAUCAAACAUUUUAAACAUUAUAGCUGAUCUGUUUUCUUCACGUUACCUGAGAUGUCUGUCUUCUAGGAGAACCUUAGCAUAAAUGAUAUUUAAAGUGAAUCCCAGGGGCGCCUGGGUGGCUCAGUCAGUUGAGCAUCUGACUCUUGAUUUUGGCUCAGGUCAUGAUCUCCCGGUUCGUGGGUUGGAGCCCCGCAUCGGGCUCUGUACCGACGGCACGCAGCCUGUGUGGGAUUCUCUCUCUCCCUCUCUCUCUGCCCCUCCCCUGCUCACGCUUUAUGUCUUUCUCUCUAAAUAAAAAUAAAAUAAACAUUAAAAAAAAUAAAAAAUAAAGUUUUCAUCUUAAAACAGUUUUUUUAAAUGAGCCCCAAAUGGUGUUUUAAUUGUUGUGGUUUUGCUCUGCAUCCUGCAUACUUUGAAUGGGUGACAAGCUGAGUCACACCCCAGUGCAUAUAAUUUCCUGGGACGUUCUGUAUCCCGAAGAGCAUCCCAAGCUCUAGAUUAAGUCAGCGAAGUAACAUUGGCAGACUGAAAAAAGGCUUAAGAAAUGCCAGUGCCCGGGCUCCUCCAGGUCGGUGGUCUCCAGAUUCCUGGCAGUGGACUGUCCUCCCCUCCCGUCCCCAUCUCUCCUCCACCCCCCGCGUCACCUGGUGCUUCUGAGGUCGUGCGUUUUUGCACGUGUGAAACAGCAGUCGAGUUUUACAAGGUUGGCAUCCUCGCUGCCUUGGGCCCCGCAGCAGAAACAGGGAACAUGUUGAUUGCACGCUGCCGUCAUCCCUCCCUUCCCCCCCCAAACCUGCUCUCCCUGGGUCUGUCCCUCGGGAGUCAGUGCACCGUCUGCGGCGGUCCCCUCGAGUUCUUCCCCCCACGUCGCAGGGCACUGCGCUUCCACAGCCUAACCUGGGUGCGGCCGCUUCUUCCUCCUCUCCCGCCGUGUGGGUGUCGUGUGUCGUCAUCAUGUGUGGGCGGCGGCGGUGGGAGGCGGCACCCUCAGCUCUCUCUGCUUCCACACCUGUCCCUACGUUCACCUCCUGUCUCCUCGUGAUUACACUCAGGUUAUGUAACUUGGGCAGGAAAGUCACAGAAGUGACGCUGCAUUUUCUCACUGGGUCCCAUCAGGUGACGUCACAAUUUCAUUUUGUCACACGGCUGGUGGUAGUGUUCGCUCUGAUCCCCUGAUUUAGGUAGUGGUGUUCUCCAGACCUCGCUGUAAAGUCACCUGUUUCCCUUUGUUGGUAACUAUUGUGUUUGGAUUUACUUUGAAACUAUAUAAAUACCUCAUUUCUCAUUAGAUUUUUAAACUUUCAGAUCAGUAUGGACUCCUGGUUUCCUCUUUAAUGUAUGUAGUCUGCGACCAUUGGCGUUGAUUUUGAGUACCCAUGACUCUUCGAGCCCUUCUUUGCUUUCUGGCACAGAAUGUUCUAGCGCCGGCUCUGGGAGGGCCCGAGGAGUCCUGGCUCCUUUGCCGGAGGCUGGUAUUUAGAAACCGAGCUCAGGCGCUAGAUGCGCUCGUUGUUGGAUGUUGCUGCCUCCUGGCCUGUCGGUGGACAGAACGAGGACCCUGUGUAUGUACCCAGCCGUUCAGGUCUGUGUUUUUGAUGUCCCUGUAUAUCAUCAUGAGGUCACACUGACACCCCCGAUUCUGAUCCAGUCCUGCAGGGUUUAUUCUCCCUUACUCGUCUUUGUUUUUAAUUUUUUUUAAUGUUUAUUAUUUUUGAGAGACAGCGCGUGAGAGUGGGGGAGGGGCAGAGAGAGAGGGAGACAGAAUCCGAAGCAGAGCUGUGAGCACAGAGUCCGAUACGGGGCUCGAACUCACGAGCCAUGAGACCGUGACCUGAGCUGAAGUCGGACGCUCAAACGACUGAGCCGCCCAGGCUCCCCAGUUCUCCCUUAUUGGUAACUCCCUUCCCUGACAGUGAGGACCCUGGCUCCCGUUAUCCUGAGUUUGUUCAUUUAUUUGAUCAGUCCUCCUGGUUACGACCCAUCUCCCAUCCCGUUGCCCUGCAGGAGCAUCCUCUCGACCCAGCAUCUCCCCGUUGGGGCUCUGACCCCCACUCCCUGUUGGGCUCUGCCUUAAGGGCUCCAGAAGGAGACUGGAGGGGGGUGCAGGAGGGAGAGGGGCCCGGGGACUUCCUGCUGCUCCUCUUUGAGUGACGCCCCUGGAACCCUUCUUCCUCCAGGCCAAAGUGCCUGCCAGUAGUAGCUGCUCAGGACAUCCGGGCGUCAGGUGGGCUUCUCUCCCUCUCAGCUUCUCGGGUCCCCACCCGUGAGCACAGAGACCCCCGUGCCAGCAGCAGCCCACCCUCAGCCGUGCGGAGCCCUUUGCCUAGUGUCCGGAAUUCCCUCCUUCGGUUCCCUGACCCCGCGGGUAGUCGUGUUGCUUCCUGCGUGUGCGCCUGCUGUGUCCGUGGCGAGUUAGCGCUCCUAACAGUUCUUUACGUGAAACUUCGGUGCUCAGAGAGCUGGUGUGCUUCAACUCUGGGCUCCGCCCGACCCGGAUGACAGGGUCACCCUGGUUUUGCAUUGACUCUGGUUGACAGCUCCCUCUCUGCCGUUCACCUGAGAAGUCCCGUGGGAUCAGCGCGACUUGGUGGCCCUGCGCAGUGGACAGGGCGGUCUGCUGCCGUGCGUGCUUGUCUUCGUGAUUGGUACACGCCAGUGUCACGUUUUCACUGCGUCCUCAGAACUCUUGGGUCUUUUCAAGCGUUCGUCCCAUUUUCCCGUUCAUCUGACUGGCCUGGUGAAUUCAUGCCCAUCCAGUUCGGGGAAAUUUGCGCAGAACUGUGUACAAGGCAGAAGCAACAAGACCGUUUGUAUCAAAGGGGAGGAGGGAACUCGACGAGGAGGAUAAGGUGAUCGAUGUGGAAAGAACAGGGAUGGCCGCGAGGCACUUCGCCCCUACCUGCCUCGGUCCUCAGGGUCAGUGGGCCCCUGAGGUGGGUGAGGAGUCCCGGAGGACGAAGUGGCUUCUCUGGCACGGCUGGCUACCAGGUGGUACACGGAGGAGCUGAAGCUCCAGAAUGGGCGCUGGGCCGCUCGCCCCCGACCCCCCUGCACCGUCAGGCCACGCCAACGCGUAGAGAUGGUUACAGCUGCAAGUUACGACAAACACUGCAUGUUGUCAACGGCAGACGAAUAAUGGGUUAUCUGUUUUUAAAAGCCGUUUAGCAGAAAGUAGGAUUGAAGGUUAGAUCUUUAAAGAGUGGAUAACUUUGUAGGCUCUAAUAGUGAAAGGACGAAGGAAAAAAAUGAAUCAGUUCAGUUUUGUUGAAAAUAUUUUUAUGAAAAGUAAUUUCUGUAAAGUAAAAAUAGU